GAUGAACGCUGGCGGCGUGCCUAAUACAUGCAAGUCGAGCGAACAGACGAGGAGCUUGCUCCUCUGACGUUAGCGGCGGACGGGUGAGUAACACGUGGAUAACCUACCUAUAAGACUGGGAUAACUUCGGGAAACCGGAGCUAAUACCGGAUAAUAUAUUGAACCGCAUGGUUCAAUAGUGAAAGACGGUUUUGCUGUCACUUAUAGAUGGAUCCGCGCCGCAUUAGCUAGUUGGUAAGGUAACGGCUUACCAAGGCAACGAUGCGUAGCCGACCUGAGAGGGGGAGUGGCCACACUGGAACUGGGACAAGGGCCAGACUCCUAGGGGGGGCAGCAGGAGGGAAUCUUCCGAAAGGGGGGAAAGGUUGGCGGAGCAACGCCGCGGGGGUGAUGAAGGUCUUCGGAUCGUAAAACUCUGUUAUUAGGGAAGAAAAAAUGUGUAAGUAACUAUGCACGUCUUGACGGUACCUAAUCAGAAAGCCACGGCUAACUACG
This 495-nucleotide ribosomal RNA is filed under the name uncultured bacterium. RNAcentral describes it as "partial 16S ribosomal RNA". It matches the Rfam family "Bacterial small subunit ribosomal RNA", at positions 28 to 505 of the family's 1533-position model. The record is from RNAcentral.